Molecule: long non-coding RNA, 1006 nt
Organism: Paramacrobiotus metropolitanus
Lineage: Eukaryota; Metazoa; Tardigrada; Eutardigrada; Parachela; Macrobiotidae
Exons: 2
Source: RefSeq, a predicted model, not a curated record
ACACGACCUUAAUAUAGGUAUCUUGCCGCACAAAAAUCGAUUUUCACUGUUAUCGAAUGGUUGUGCUCAUUGCACAGCAACCUCAACUUCUAACCAUGGGAAAUUUGGAAAAUACAUUUACGAACCGUAGCGCACGAAUCCGGUACGACUACGAUAUCGGGUACAACCACGGCUGCAGUGCCGCUGCACGUCUGUGUUGUGAUACUACUCACGUUAACGGAAUGCAUUGAUUACGCGGCAUAAUCAUGGGAAUUCCCCGGUUGAAUAAUUUGUACGUGCAAGAUUUACCCACAUCUCUUGAGUUAACUCCCCUUUAACAUGUUUCGCAAACGCUCGUAUUUAGUACUAUAUAUGUUCGAAUGCGGAAAAUUACUUGCCCGUAUUGUUUGAAAAUAAUUAUUUGAAAGGCCUGUUUCUACAUACAGACUUUACUUGAUAGCCGCUGACCUAUUACCUAUAUUUUCUUAACGCAGUGAAGACAAUAGGCUAACAUGGCUGAUGGAGGAAUGGGUGGACUCGGCAGCGGUGGACCAGGAAUUUCUCCUGCACUUGGAUCUGGCCCAAGCAACCCAGAAGGAUUAAGCGGGAUGAAAGGUCAGGGUGGCGCCGGUCCAGAAAAUCCGGAUCCCAAGCCGGCAGUUCCCGACCAACCGGGAGACACCAUGCACACAACCAGAGCGCCACGCAGUGGACAACCCGGAGCGGGAAAUAUCCCAGAGCCUGAAGGAAAGCAUGACCCUACACAACCCAACAAGGUUGACAAGGACAAACCUAAGAAAGUGUGAUCUGGGUUCUAAAUGUUGUUAGUUUGUACUUCGGAAAUCUGAUAUGGUUAUAAUUUUAUAUAGAUAUCAUAUAUCUAUAUUGACCUCAUGAAGCACGAUACCGUUGAUGCACUUAUAAGAGUUACCGGCUUAUAUAUCGUAAAACAGAUUCCGUUUUUAAAGCUUUUGGACAUCGUGUAACUGAUUACUUUUUACUUCGCUAUUAAAGUCCGUGUGGCAAG